This 253-nucleotide ribosomal RNA is filed under the name uncultured bacterium. RNAcentral's name for it is "partial 16S ribosomal RNA". It matches the Rfam family "Bacterial small subunit ribosomal RNA", at positions 524 to 776 of the family's 1533-position model. The record is from RNAcentral.
UACAGAGGGGGCAAGCGUUGUUCGGAAUUACUGGGCGUAAAGGGCGCGUAGGUGGCCUUCUAAGUUGAACGUGAAAUCCCUGGGCUCAACCCAGGAACUGCGUCCAAGACUGGGAGGCUUGAAUCCGGGAGAGGGAUGCGGAAUUCCAGGUGUAGCGGUGAAAUGCGUAGAUAUCUGGGGGAACACCGGUGGCGAAGGCGGCAUCCUGGACCGGUAUUGACACUGAGGCGCGAAAGCCAGGGGAGCAAACGGG